This 784-nucleotide ribosomal RNA is filed under the name uncultured Rhizopogon. RNAcentral's name for it is "eukaryotic LSU rRNA". The stretch from base 256 to 410 matches the Rfam family "5.8S ribosomal RNA". The record is from RNAcentral. Lineage: Eukaryota; Fungi; Basidiomycota; Agaricomycetes; Boletales; Rhizopogonaceae.
AGGUUUCCGUAGGUGAACNUGCGGAAGGAUCAUUAACGAAUAUAAAUCGGAAAGCUGUCGCUGGCCCUCGCGGGCAUGUGCACGCUGACCGUGUUUCAUAAAUUUCUCNCCUGUGAACCUAAUGUAGGAUGCCCCUCCUCCGGGAGGGGGGACCUAUGUCUUCAUAUACAUCUUCGUGUAGAAAGUCUUAGAAUGUUUACUAUCAGAGAGUCGCGACUUCUAGGAGACGCGAAUCUUUGAGAUAAAAGUUAUUACAACUUUCAGCAAUGGAUCUCUUGGCUCUCGCAUCGAUGAAGAACGCAGCGAAAAGCGAUAUGUAAUGUGAAUUGCAGAUCUACAGUGAAUCAUCGAAUCUUUGAACGCACCUUGCGCUCCUCGGUGUUCCGAGGAGCAUGCCUGUUUGAGUGUCAGUAAAUUCUCAACCCCUCUUGAUUGAGGGAGUUUGGAUAGUGGGGGCUGCCGGAGACUUGGAUUCGUCUAGGACUCGGGCUCUCCUGAAAUGCAUCGGCUUGCGGUCGACUUUCGACUAUGCGCGACAAGGCUUUCGGCGUGAUAAUGAUCGCCGUUCGCUGAAGUGCAUGAAUGAAAGUUUCGCGCCUCUAAUACGUCGACUCUUAUUAUCUCUUCGGAGAGAAAAGGUCUUCUUCAUUGACUUUUGACCUCAAAUCAGGUAGGACUACCCGCUGAACUUAAGCAUAUCAAUAAGCGGAGGAAAAGAAACUAACAAGGAUUCCCCUAGUAACUGCGAGUGAACCGGGAAAAGCUCANUUUUGAAUCUGGCGGU